AGAGUUUGAUCCUGGCUCAGAGUGAACGCUGGCGGCACGCUUAACACAUGCAAGUCGAACGGGUUUAAUUGGUGCUUGCACCGAUUGAAUUAGUGGCGAACGGGUGAGUAAUACAUGGGAAUCUGCCUCGCAAAGGGGGAUAACCACUGGAAACGGUGGCUAAUACCGCAUAUUGCCGAAAGGUGAAAGAUUUUAUCGUUGCGAGAUGAGCCCAUGCGGGAUUAGUUUGUUGGUGGGGUAAAGGCCUACCAAGGCGAUGAUCUCUAGCUGGUCUGAGAGGAUGAUCAGCCACACUGGGACUGAGAUACGGCCCAGACUCCUACGGGAGGCAGCAGUGAGGAAUUUUGGACAAUGGGCGAAAGCCUGAUCCAGCGAUGCCGCGUGAGUGGUAAGGUCUUAGGAUUGUAAAGCUCUUUCGAUGGGGAAGAUAAUGACUGUACCCAUAGAAGAAGUCCCGGCUAACUUCGUGCCAGCAGCCGCGGUAAUACGAAGGGGGCGAGCGUUACUCGGAAUAACUGGGCGUAAAGAGUGCGUAGGCGGUUUUGUAAGUUGGAAGUGAAAUCCUUGGGCUUAACCCAAGAACUGCUUUCAAAACUACUUGACUUGAGUAUCAGACGGGAUAGCGGAAUUUCUGGUGUAGAGGUGAAAUUCGUAGAUAUCAGGAGGAACACCGGUAGCGAAGGCGGCUAUCUGGCUGAUUACUGACGCUGUUGCACGAAAGCGUGGGGAGCAAACAGGAUUAGAUACCCUGGUAGUCCACGCAGUAAACGAUGAGCGCUAGGUGUUGGGGCUUUUAUGCUUCAGUGCCGUAGUUAACGCGUUAAGCGCUCCGCCUGAGGAGUACGACCGCAAGGUUAAAACUCAAAGGAAUUGACGGGGACCCGCACAAGCGGUGGAACAUGUGGUUUAAUUCGAUGCUACGCGAAAAACCUUACCAGGUCUUGACAUAUUAGUCGUACGGCUAGGAAACUAGUUGGUCAGUUCGGCUGGACUAUUACAGGUGUUGCAUGGCUGUCGUCAGCUCGUGUCGUGAGAUGUUGGGUUAAGUCCCGCAACGAGCGCAACCCUUGCCCUUAAUUGCCAGCGGGUUAUGCCGGGGACUUUGGGGGGACUGCCAGCGUUAAGUUGGAGGAAGGAGAGGAUGAGGUCAAGUCAUCAUGGCCCUUAUGACCUGGGCUACACAUGUGUUACAAUGGCGGUUACAAUGGGAUGCAAUAGAGCGAUCUGGAGCAAAUCCCCAAAGGCCGUCUCAGUUCGGAUUGCACUCUGCAACUCGAGUGCAUGAAGUUGGAAUCGCUAGUAAUCGCGGAUCAGCACGCCGCGGUGAAUACGUUCCCGGGUCUUGUACACACUGCCCGUCAAGCCACGGGAGUUGGUUCUGCCUGAAGUACGUGAGUUAACCGAAAGGAGACAGCGUAUCACGGCGGGGUUAGCGACUGGGUUAAGUCGUAACAAGGUA
Molecule: ribosomal RNA, 1459 nt
Filed under: metagenome
Description: bacterial SSU rRNA
Rfam family: Bacterial small subunit ribosomal RNA
Source: RNAcentral